ACCCCCAUCCGGAUACACGUGACGCGCCUCUCAUAUCCGGACCGCCUCAAGGAAGUUCAAACGACACUUAUAAACAUAAGACAUUCGGACGACUUCCACCUCAUAUCCGGACCGCCUCAAGGAAGUUCAAACGACACUUGUAAGCAUAGAACAUCCGGACGGCUUCCACAAAUACAUCCGGAUGACCAGCAUAAACCAUCCGAAUAUAAUUGUCCGGGUCAUUAACUGAAGUAAGCAAGUCUUACACGUUACCACAACAGCCUGCCAUGACCCACGUUCCGCCACCUGCAGAGUGAAGGGACAAGAUGAAGUGACAACAAGUCACUUCCCACGAUCAUUUCACAUGAUCACCUACCACGAUCUCUGACAGCCGCAUCACCUACCACGAUCUCUAUCAAAUUGCCCGUAGGGUGAUGAUGGCCCUGCCACCACCUAGUGUCAUCAUGACAACACAAAAUAUCUCCCCACCAUUAAAGAAGAACAAAAGCUUCUGAUACUAUAUAUAUCAACCUUCACACAAAGAGGAAGGUAAGCUUGCGAUACCUAGUAAAAGGCCAAUUGAUUUAUCUCUCUCUCUAACCAUGGCUGACAAAACCAUCGGAGGGUGUGUCCAGACACCCCGUCCGGACGUCUUUUGCAGGUGGAACGACUGAAUCAAGAACCUAUAUUGGUUGAGAUCGUGCGUCCAUCCAUUUGGCAACUACGUGGAUCACCAGGAACGCGAGGCCUCAACAUUGGCGCCGUCUGUGGGAAAACUUUUUUAUUCGAUUCAGUCACUAGCAAAGAUGGCCACACCUUCCCGAAGCCGUUCAUCCGGUAGGCGAGAGGAAGAUAAUUCUGAAUGGCGCCAAGCCAUCGAAAGGAGACAGUUGGCAAGCGAACGACAACUGAAAGUUCUCCUCCAGGAAACAGAAAGAUUAAGAGAAGAAAACGUGGUACUACGCAUCCAGGCUUCAACUUCAGGGCCUCCUCGUUGUCAGCGUUCAAGAGGCCAAGUAGCAAAUUCAAGGCCAGAACCAGAAUCAAUAUAUCCUGGGACAACAGGACUUAUCCCAAAAGCAUGCAACGUGAGGCCACACGAGCCACACACUCCCAUGCCUCGGGCUCUUCGUGAGGAAAGCUCGGACUCUACUCAUUUUUCAGCAAAAAGACAACACGACAGAAGAUCUCAGUUGUCAAAUUCAAUGCGCGCAAGACUAGGCCCACAAGAGCCUGGGAGACCAAGGCCUCUAGUAGCCACAACCGGGGCAACGCGCCCCGAUCCUAUGAUCAGCCCCGUGGUGCAGAACGUGCUCCCGCACCGUGAUCCCAAGGUCACCCCCAUGGUACAGAACGUUCGCCCGCACCUAGCGGUACAACAAGCUAGGAGAAACCUCCCAAACGAGCCACCCAUUGGUUCCAUCAGCAAAAGGCUAGAUGACAUGCUCUCCACGCCUUUUUGCUCUCACAUCAUUCAUUACGAGCCCCCAAGGGGAUUCCUCGUACCAAAAUUUUCCACAUACGACGGGACCAACGAUCCCUUCAAUCAUAUCAUGCAUUAUCGACAGCUCAUGACGCUCGAUAUUGGCAACGACGCACUGCUGUGUAAAGUAUUUCCCGCCAGCCUACAAGGGUAGGCCCUAUCAUGGUUUCAUCGCCUACCGCCCAACUCUAUUGGCAAUUUCAGGGACCUGUCCAAAGCUUUCGUAGGGCAAUACUUGUGCUCCGCUCGACACAAGCAGAACAUCAACACUCUGCAAAACAUAAAAAUGCAAGAUAAUGAAUCCUUAAGGGUGCUUGUGAAGCGAUUUGGUCAGGCCGUACUCCAGGUAGAGGCCUGCAGCAUGGAUGUUGUCCUACAGAUCUUCAAGCAAAGCAUCUGUCCAGGCACCCCAUUUUUUGAAUCAUUAGCCAAAAAGCCUCCUACAACGAUGGAUGAUUUGUUCCGACGUGCCAACAAAUAUUCAAUGCUCGAAGAUGACGUGCGUGCAGCCAGCCAGCAAGUUUUGGUUGUCGGACGACCAUCUAGAGGUGACGCGGAAAGAAAUGCUAAACCUCCGGACCGACCAAGGCCGUCCGAUCGAAGGCAGGAGGGACCAAGUAGCCCGGAUAGGCCGCCCCUCACGCCUCUUUCCAUAUCAUAUGAAAAACUUCUCCCUAUGAUCCAAGGUUUGUCCGACUUUAGGUGGCCUAGACCCCAAGGAACGGACCCAUCCACAAGGGAUUAUAGCAAAAGAUGUGCCUUCCACAAGGAACAUGGUCACACAACAGAAACAUGCAGAAGCCUCCAGUAUCUGGUCGAGAGGCUCAUCAAAGCAGGACAUCUAAAGCAAUACCUCCGCUCAGAUGCUGAAGGAAAAGCCACUUCCCAACAUCACCACCCUGGAGCCCCCAAGGCCCCGGUCGCCCCCAAGGCCGUUAUAAACUAUAUUAACGGAGGCCCAUCUGACGAGAAAUAUGACUCUAGGCGAAAAAGGCAGAAGUUGUUGCGCGCCGCAUCAAUACGCGAACGCAUCAACUCCAUCCGGCCUGGACUAACCGAAAGGGGGCCCUUGCCCCAUAGAUGGGACAAUCGUUUUCCCACCAGUGGAUCCCACCCGGACGCUGCAGCCACAUCGCGACGCCCUCAUCCUGUCCCUAGAGAUAUGAGACUUCGAUGUGAGACGCAUCUUGGUUGACCUAGGCAGCUCGGCUGAUCUUGUACAAGCAUCGGUCGUUAGCCGCAUGGGACACAGUCUCGCAGGCCUCGAAAACCCUGGACGAAUCCUAUCCGGAUUCAACGGAUCGUCAACUACAUCCUUGGGAGACAUUAUACUGCCAGUCCAAGCUGGCCCAGUCACUCUCAACGUACAAUUCUCAAUGGUUCAGGAGUUGUCAUCCUUCAAUGUCAUCUUAGGGCGCACAUGGCUACACUACAUGAAAGUCAUCCCUUCUACAUAUCAUCAAAUGGUGAGUUUCCUCACCAACGAAGGACAAAUUGACCUAUACGGCAGCCAGUUAGCCGGUCGCCAAUGCUACCAGAUAGCGCGAGAAGCAGGAACCAGCCAGGAGGAUGCACCCCUCCCUGAGCCUAGCCAUUCAUGUGACCAAUAGCAAUUAUUGGGUCCGGUGGAGAAAGAUCCUCCGGCAGCAGAUCCCUUACAAACAAUCCAAAUUUUGGAGGAGAAUACUCACCUUACAAACAUCAGCUCCUCAUGACACCAGAAGAGACCCAGAGCAUGCAAAACGCCCUUAGACGAAACCACGACAUCUUCGCAUGGGCACAUGCUGAUAUGAAGGGAAUUCAUCCCUCUAUUACAUCUCACAGGCUUAACGUCUUUCCAACUGCCAGACCCGUCCGGCAGAAAAUCAGGCGCUUUCACCCGGAUAGACAAAAAGUCAUCCGGAACGAGAUUGACAAAUUGUUAGAAGCCGGAUUCAUCAGAGAAGUUGAUUAUCCGGAUUGGUUAGCCAACGUAGUGGUGGUACCCAAAAAAGAAGGAAAAUGGCGGGUUUGCGUAGAUUACACCAACCUCAAUAAUGCAUGCCCAAAAGACAGUUUCCCUUUGCAACGAAUAGAUCAAAUUGUGGACUCCACUGCCGGGCAAGGGAUGCUCUCUUUCUUGGAUGCCUUCUCCGGAUAUCACCAGAUUCCCAUGUCCCCGGCUGACGAGGAAAAAACAGCAUUCAUAACGCCAUUCGGCCUCUAUUGCUACAAAGUCAUGCCAUUCGAACUCAAAAACGCUGGCGCCACUUAUCAGAGACUGAUGACAAAGAUCUUCAAACCUCUGAUAGGCCACACAGUAGAAGUAUAUAUUGAUGAUAUCGUGGUUAAAAGAAAAACCCGAGAGGAGCAUGUUCUUCAUCUACAAGAAGUUUUUUACCUUCUGAGGAAGUAUGGCAUGAAGCUGAAUCCUUCCAAAUGCGCCUUUGGCGUAAGUGCUGGCAAAUUUAUGGGCUUUAUGGUUAGCCAAAGAGGGAUAGAGGUUAGCCCAGAUCAAGUCAAGGCAGUUAUGGAAACACCUCCCCCCAGGAGCAAGAAGGAAUUACAGCGCCUCACGGGCAAACUCGUCGCACUAGGGCGUUUCAUAGCUCGCUUCACUGAUGAAUUGUGAACCUUCUUCUUGGCAAUAAGAAAAGCUGGAAAGGGUGGAUGGACGGACAACUGUCAAAACGCUUUUGAAAAGAUUAAACACUGUCUCAUGCAGCCACCCAUCCUGAGCAACCCCAUCCCGAAAGAAAAAUUAUACAUGUAUCUGGCUGUAUCAGAGUGGGCAAUCAGUGCUGUUCUAUUCCGCUGUCCCUCACCUAAGGAGCAAAAACCUAUCUACUACGUCAGCAGAGCAUUGGCGGAUGUAGAAACCAGGUAUUCAAAAAUGGAGCUGACAGCCUUAGCCCUUCGUAGCGUUGCCCAAAAGCUCCGCCCCUAUUUCCAAGCCCACCCGGUGGUCAUGCUGACCGAUCAACCCCUUCGCAAUAUUUUGCACAAGCCAGACUUAACCGGAAGAAUGCUGCGAUGGGCUAUCGAAUUAAGUGAGUUUGGAAUCGAAUUCCAACCCAAAUUGUCCAUGAAAGGCCAAGUAAUGGUUGACUUCGUGCUAGAAUAUGCCCGAAGGCCUAACCAACACCAGGAAUCAAAUGAAAAAGAAUGGUGGACUUUGCGAGUGGAUGGAGCCUCACGAUCAUUAGGGUCCGGAGUCGGGCUUCUGCUACAGUCCCUAACCGGGGAACACCUGGAGCAAUCCAUCCGGCUGGGAUUCCCUGCCUCCAACAAUGAAGCAGAAUAUGAGGCCAUCUUAUCCGGAUUAGACCUCGCUCUGGCCCUGUCCGCCACCAAGCUCCGGGUCUAUAGCAAUUCGCAACUUGUUGUAAGACACGUCCAGAAGGAAUACGAGGCCAAAGAUGCGUGCAUGGCACGAUAUUUGACAAAAGUAAAGGACACCUUACAACGAUUCACCGAGUGGACAAUUGAAAAAAUCAAAAGAACCGAAAAUAGACGUGUCGACGCCUUGGCAGGCAUUGCUACCUCCCUCUCCAUCAAAGAAGCCAUAUUGUUGCCUAUACAUGUACAAACCAACUCUUCUGUCACAGAAACCUCCACUUGCAACACCAUUGAGGCAAAGCAAGCAGACGACCAAGAAUGGACGAACAACAUUACAGAAUACCUCCGGACAGGCACUUUGCCCGGAGAUCCCAAAGAGGCACACAAGGUCCGGAUGCAAGCUGCCCGUUUCACCAUAAUCGGGGGGCACUUGUACAAGCGAUCCUUCAUAGGACCCUACCUUCGGUGCCUAAGUCAAUCAGAGGCCCAAUACGUCUUAGCUGAGUUGCAUAAGGGAAUAUGCGGAAAUCAUUCAGGAGGACGAUCUCUGGCACAUAGAGCCCAUUCACAAGGAUAUUAUUGGCCCACGAUGAAGAAGGAUGCGGCAGCACAUGUCAAAAAAUGUGAUAAAUGUCAAAGGCAUGCUCCCAUUCCACAUAUGCCAUCAGAAACAUUGAAACCAGUAUCAAGCCCAUGGCCCUUCGCACAGUGGGGCAUGGACAUAGUGGGACCCCUCCCAGCCGCACCUGCCCAAAAGAAAUUUCUGCUCGUCGCUACGGAUUACUUCAGUAAGUGGGUAGAAGUUGAAGCGUAUGCUAGCAUCAAAGACAAAGAUGUCACCAAGUUCGUAUGGAAAAACAUCGUCUGCCAUUUUGGAAUUCCACACACCAUUAUAGCCGACAAUGGUCCACAGUUUGAUAGCAUUGCAUUCUGGAAUUUCUGUUCGGAACUGAACAUCUGGAAUUCAUACUCUACACCGCGUUAUCCUCAAAGUAACGGGCAAGCAGAAGCCACAAACAAAACUCUGAUCACCACCUUAAAGAAAAGGCUCGAACAAGCCAAAGGAAAGUGGGUAGAAGAGUUGCCCGUCGUUCUGUGGGCCUAUCGAACCACACUCGGACGGCCAACAGGAAACACUCCCUUCGCCCUCGCAUACGGAAUGGAUGCAGUCAUUCCUAUCGAAAUUGGGUUACCCACUAUCCGGACUGAGGCAGCGGAACAGGGUGAUGCAAGCAUGGAGUUAGGAAGAAACUUGGAUUGGGCAGAUGAAGUAAGAGAAAGCGCAGCCAUCCAGCUGGAAGACUAUCAACAAAGAGCAUCCGCUCAUUACAAUCGCAAGGUACGACCUAGAAGCUUCAAAAAUGGUACGCUGGUACUUAGAAAAGUUUUUGAAAAUACAGCUGACACAGGGGCAGGUAAAUUCCAAGCCAACUGGGAAGGACCCUAUGUAGUAUCUAAGUCAAGUGAAAAUGGAGCUUAUCAUCUACAAAAGCUAGACAGAAUUCCAUUACUCAGACCAUGGAAUGUUUCGAAUUUAAAGCAAUAUUAUCAAUAAAAGAAAGAGACAAAUACAAAUGUCAAAAAAUGUAUGUUUUAUUGAUAUUUGUAAAGUGUGUACAAGGAGGUCUUCGGACUACAAAAGUUACAGAGACAAGAUAGCAGCAAAGAUUACAAAAGAAAAAAACUAUCAGGGAGCGGGCUUGUCAAGUAGCUUCUUCUCUUCACCCGGAGGAAUUGAAAGGACAUCCCGUUUAAUGCCAUUCUUCUUCAUACAGCAGCGAUAGCCGAAGAAGAACAUAUCAUCCACUUGCUUUUGGUAGUCCGCUUCAAGCUCCUCCCACUCUGCAGCAAACUCACCCUCUAGCUCUUCUUUUUGCACUGAUAAGCGCAGCUGCAAAUCUUCCCUCUGCUUCUUUUCAAUAGAAAUCUCCGUCCGGAAUUGCCUCACCUCCCCCCUCAGAAGAGCCAUCUCAUCCUCCGCCUCAUGCAAGCGGGCAUCCGUCGACUCCUCCCGACUCUUUGCCUCAGCCAACUCUGCCUGGAGAGCCGCAUUGUCCUCCCGAGCGAUGGAUAAACUAGCUUCAGCUUCUUCCAGUCUCAAGCGCAGUUGAUUUUCACUAUCUUUGCGCUGAGAAGCAAAAGCCUUCAUGUAAUCAGCAGUCCGCAGCAAGUCAGUGAAUAGAUCAUGUUGCUGGACCAUGCCGCGCAGACCGCUCACCAGCUACAAACAAAACACACAAACAAGAGAAGCAGAGUUACAAACCAUACCAUAAACACAUCAAUAUGACAAAAGACAAUCAAGAAAUAUACUAUACCGUUUCCACCACUUCGAACAUCUUUGUUGAAGGCAUGGCAGUGGUCGAGCCGGGUGGAAUCUGUUUUAGCUUCUCUUCUAACUCCGCGUAGCUAAAAGAGCCAGCGGAGAUGCAAGCCGCAUCAUCAACAAGAUCCCCCCCUGAUGAGGUGUUAGAGAGUAAAUCCUCCUCCGGAUCCAGAGCCCCCUCAUUUGCAGUCGGAUGGGUCUCGUCGAGCAUACCCUCAUCCGGGGCCACCAUCGGGACGGCUGGGGUCUCAGUUGUCGUCUCCGUCUCGCUCCCAUCCUGAUGGUCAUCCUGGACGGAGGAGCAGCUGACUUCGAGGGUUUCUUGGAAGCGAUCUUGCAGCCGCCCGAUGAGGCCAGACUUUAGGUUCCGCGCCGAACUCGGCCUCCUUGAAGUUGGCCCCUUCACCGGAGGAAUGGCAGGAAGGCUUGGCCCGACUGAUGGCAGACUCUGGUUUUCUGCCCCCGUCUCCUCCAUAGGUGUCGCCAUGAGAGGCGACACAUCCGCGCAAACAGCCUCGACCGCGCCCGCAUCUGGAUGGGGAGAGCCGGGUGUAUUUAUUGACGCAACUUCCUCGGCCAAAAUAGCCAAACGGGCAGCCGCUGACAAGGAGGGCCCCGAAUGGUUUAGACCCGCGACGUGUCCGGGGCCACUUGAGAUAGAGGGAGGAAGAGGAUUUUCGGGCUCCUUUAUUAUUACCUCCACCUCAUAGGUAAUAGGAGGGAUUACAAACUCCUUUGGCGGAGUGGGAAUUUUCACUGCCUUCCCCUUCUCAGUAACCUUCCCCUUCUUGGUCACCUUCCCCUUCUUCUUCGCUGGAGCGCCAGUCGGAGAAGGUGCGGAACUUUUACCACCCGGUGUCUUCCGCAAGAGCCCUUCUUUUAUUUUAUCCUCCCAAUCAGUAAGACAGGCUUUGCGUGUCUGGGCAUCUACCUCCUGCACCACCGCGUAGAAAGGCAAAUCUUGAAGGACAAAAUGCUCCCCGGCUACAACUUCUUCAGGCAGCCGCCUGGGGAGUAUGUUCAUCACAUACGGAUGUGGCUCCUUUAUGACCGAACGGAGAUUCUAUGCAGAAAGCAGCAUUUCGCAACUCCGCUCGGCCGCCGCAAUCUCGAAGAGGCUAUUCAAGCGAUCGAACGAGGCCUUCUCCACCCAUUCUACCAAUUUCCCCCUUUUAUUCUAACCUACACCCAAGAAAGCAAAAGUAUGUCAGCAACCCAACUAUAUUGACCUAAACUCGCAAGACAUGGAAAAAACAAAAGAUAGUCUAACCAUACCAGGGACCUUCAGCGAUCGGUUGGGGGCAAAGGGCUUGUCCGGGUGCGUCCCUAAACCCGCCCAUAUGCCCCUCACCAGCACAUGGCCCUUGGCACCUCCCUUGGUUGAGUCCGGCAGGCUGUUCACCAAAUGCAUGGACGGCAGGCAAGCGACAAAACUAAAAAUAUCAGUCUUCAGCUUCUUGAUCGAGUAGAUAAACAACACCUCCAGUAGAGUAAUGUCCAAAUUGAACAACAUGCUCAGGACGCUGCACCCCAUCAACACCCGGACCAUAUUCGGAUGCAUAUACGCCGGGGGAAUCUGGGUGAAAUACAAGAAUUCCUUGAACAAGGACGGAAGGGGGAAUCGCAGCCUAGCGUUGAACUGCUCCUUGCUAAAACAAAUAGCAUUGUCUUCAGCAUUUUCAGUAGACACGGCCUCUCCCUCAGAUAAUUCAACUGAUACACGGUUGGGAAUACAGAACCGUUCACGGAACUCCUUCACACUCAAUUUGUCAAUCGAUUUUUUGGCAUGAGCAGCACCACACGGGACAGGUGAAGUCACUUUCUGGUUAGCAGACAUCUUCUCGUUUCGUAAGACUACAUAAAAAGGUACCAACAGUCAGAACACCCUCAACAAAACCCUAGAAACCAAAAAAACACAUCAACAUUUACACACACAGUCGCAAACAAGUUGCCCAAAACAAACCAACAAAGGCAAACGCAAAACAAGAAAAAGCCAAGAACGAUGCACAUACCAAGGGUAAAUCUGGAAGAAAAGGUUGAACACCGCAAACACAGUCAACAAGUGCGAUACAGAAAUCACCGGUAGGAAAAUUCUAGGGCUUCACUCAGGAAAACAAAGCAAAAGCACAGAAGGAAGAAGAAGCAGUGCUCUCAGGAAAAACGCAGUAGGAAAAGGGCAGCAGAGUGCACAAUAUGCUAUUUAUAGGGAAACAGUCCCUCGGUAUACCAAACGAUCAGCUACACUAUCAUUGAAACGACAUGCUGCCUGGGAAUACACAGAGACAACGGCUCAUCAUAAAUGAUCCUCUCUCUCUUCACCCUCAUUCACCACGUGGCCCAAUGAGUGCAAAAAGUAGCCUCAGUUUCAAAAAAUCAAUUAUUUUUAACCCGCCCAUUUUGUACGGGCAAAAUGGGCAAGUUAAAAAGGGGGGCAUUGUAGGGACCCCUCCUCCUGAGAACACGUGCCACGCACCUCAUGGUGACACGUGCCACGUAUACCAUCCGAAUCACCCCUAUCCAGAUACACGUGACGCGCCUCUCAUAUCCGGACCGCCUCAAGGAAGUUCAAACGACACUUAUAAACAUAAGACAUCCGGACGACUUCCACCUCAUAUCCGGACCGCCUCAAGGAAGUUCAAACGACACUUGUAAGCAUAGAACAUCCGGACGGCUUCCACAAAUACAUCCGGAUGACCAGCAUAAACCAUCCGAAUAUAAUUGUCCGGGUCAUUGACUGAAGUAAGC
Molecule: long non-coding RNA, 9848 nt
Filed under: Vitis vinifera (wine grape)
Lineage: Eukaryota; Viridiplantae; Streptophyta; Magnoliopsida; Vitales; Vitaceae
Description: long non-coding RNA (VVIN_LNC002977)
Source: RNAcentral